GUCUGCACUUGUCGGGGAAGGAUGAGAAGCUUCGACUAAGGUUCGAUUCGAGCGCAGCGAGAAAGCGUUGCCGCAGGCAACGGCCCGUAGGGUGAGGAGCGAAGCGACGAAUAAUCCUUCCCCCACCACCA
Molecule: small RNA, 131 nt
Filed under: Salmonella enterica subsp. enterica serovar Hadar
Lineage: Bacteria; Pseudomonadati; Pseudomonadota; Gammaproteobacteria; Enterobacterales; Enterobacteriaceae
Description: RtT RNA
Rfam family: RtT RNA
About the family: This family represents a bacterial cis-regulatory element known as RtT RNA. The exact function of RtT is unknown although it is thought that it may be involved in changing the cellular response in relation to amino acid starvation.
Source: RNAcentral